RNAcentral lists this ribosomal RNA (253 nucleotides) under uncultured bacterium. Its description in RNAcentral is "partial 16S ribosomal RNA". It matches the Rfam family "Bacterial small subunit ribosomal RNA", at positions 524 to 776 of the family's 1533-position model. The record is from RNAcentral.
UACGAAGGGUGCAAGCGUUACUCGGAAUUACUGGGCGUAAAGCGUGCGUAGGUGGUUUGUUAAGUCUGAUGUGAAAGCCCUGGGCUCAACCUGGGAACGGCAUUGGAAACUGGCUUACUAGAGUGCGGUAGAGGGGUGUGGAAUUCCCGGUGUAGCAGUGAAAUGCGUAGAUAUCGGGAGGAACACCAGUGGCGAAGGCGGCUGCCUGGGGUAUUGCUGACGCUGAGGAACGAAGGCCAGGGGAGCGAACGGG